This 277-nucleotide ribosomal RNA is filed under the name Salmonella enterica subsp. enterica serovar Derby. RNAcentral describes it as "partial 23S ribosomal RNA". It matches the Rfam family "Bacterial large subunit ribosomal RNA", at positions 1630 to 1889 of the family's 2925-position model. Lineage: Bacteria; Pseudomonadati; Pseudomonadota; Gammaproteobacteria; Enterobacterales; Enterobacteriaceae. The record is from RNAcentral. RNAcentral also lists the same sequence under 3 other names.
GGUAACAUCAAAUCGUACCCCAAACCGACACAGGUGGUCAGGUAGAGAAUACCAAGGCGCUUGAGAGAACUCGGGUGAAGGAACUAGGCAAAAUGGUGCCGUAACUUCGGGAGAAGGCACGCUGACAUGUAGGUGAAGUGAUUUACUCAUGGAGCUGAAGUCAGUCGAAGAUACCAGCUGGCUGCAACUGUUUAUUAAAAACACAGCACUGUGCAAACACGAAAGUGGACGUAUACGGUGUGACGCCUGCCCGGUGCCGGAAGGUUAAUUGAUGGGG